RNAcentral lists this long non-coding RNA (242 nucleotides) under Glycine max (soybean). RNAcentral's name for it is "long non-coding RNA (GMAX_LNC003467)". Lineage: Eukaryota; Viridiplantae; Streptophyta; Magnoliopsida; Fabales; Fabaceae. The record is from RNAcentral.
AUACUCUAACUCUUCUAGCCUUUUCUCUAGGAGAUCAUCCAUUAUUUAUGAAUUCGAAUCUUGGGAAUCCUCAACGAAUGAAGUAGAUUCUUCAUUUUAUGUUGGCAUGUCUUGUUAAGUCAUGGUGUCAAAUAUGUCUUUCCUCAUAUAAGAUCCUCCAAGUUUUUGCGAUGAGCUGGCUUGAGCUAGAUCAGGUGUUGUGGGAUGAUAAACAUUAAUCUCGAGCAUAUGUGGGUCAGCUG